Non-coding RNA from Odocoileus virginianus texanus, 1341 nucleotides. The record is from RefSeq and is a predicted model, not a curated record. NCBI's taxonomy places the organism in Eukaryota, Metazoa, Chordata, Mammalia, Artiodactyla, Cervidae.
AAUAAUGUUAUGGAGUAGGACACAAUUCAUCCAUAAGCCCUAGGGAUCAAAAGCAUCAAUAUACUAAUCCUUGGGUCAUAUGAAAGUUAUGUGAUCCUUGUCACUCUAUCUGCUCUUCCUUAUUCCUCCAACACACACACACACACACACACACACACACACACACACACACACAGUUUGUCUCAGCGUUAGUUUCAUGUUACAAGCUAAGAUACAUCAACAUUUGAAUUGUAAUCCCCUUGGUUAAGAUUAUUCACUGAUUCAACUAAUAUCUAUAGCAAAUUCUUAAAAAUCUGAACAAUAUACUAUCCACUGGGUAGAUGUCAUACAUUCAGAUCUUGUAAAUUCUUUACCCAAUUCCUUAGCAUAGAACAAAGUUCUUGCUUUUGUAAAAAUGUCAUUUACAAGGAAUAAAGGUAUGACUCAGGAUCAUUUUCUUAAGCACAUAUAGCGCAGUUUGUCUCAAAAUCAUGGGUAGUAUUGACAGCAUCAAAUGAUCUACAUUUCUAUUAGUAAAUGAAAACAUUAUACCUGGGAGUGGCUAUGUUUCUUUUUAAAAUCAUUUUAAAAUUUUUAGAUUCCAAUAAUGAAUGCACAUAAUUUUAAAUCACCUAUUUCCUAAAAGUUCAUUACACAUAUAGUUGCCCCCUUCACUUUUUCUAUACUCAACUUCUUCCCAAAAGGUUUAAAUUCUUUGGGCCUGUUUAUUACAUUUAUCACAACAUUACAAAAUAACUGAUUGGCAUUAGUACAUUUUUGGUUAUCAAUUUCAGAUGUCAUCAGUUUAUUUUUGUUACAGGAGUUAAGCUCACCCUGUCCCCAGUCAAAUAUACAUAUUAACAUGUAGAUACACAGACAGACAUAGACACACACACACCCUCUCAGUCUCCCAAUGUUAUUUAAUAUUUUUCAUGGAAAAUCAGGGUUGCAUUAUUUAAUAUGCCUUUGUAGUAUAUAUCAUGAUUGAAUUUUUUUCUCCUACAUUUUGCCAUGGAGUUAAUAAUUGCCUCUUUCUUCCUAUUUUCUCAGCUUCAUUUGGAGUCAUUAUUACAUUUUGCAAAUAUUUCAACUGACCUUGCAAAUGCCUAUGGUGGUCUGGAACUGAACCUACAGAAUCUCUGAGAGACAGGAGCCAAGUCAGAGCUACAUUAAUCCAGAAACCAAAAGUAAGUAGACAAUAUUGUGAAUAUUAAUGCAAGGUGGCAGCUCUUAUUUUUCACCAUCCCAUCCUAUUUUUCCUCGGAACCAAUUUGUACAAAAUGUAUUUAAAAAUCAGAAAGUUAAAGACAACCAAUUUUCAACUCAUUGACCUACAAAUUUGUCUUUGAUUGCAGGGCACUU